GACAGAGUGCCUGAGUGGUCCAAAGGGCACGACUAGAAAUCGUGUGGGUUCGCCCUCGCAGGUUCGAAUCCUGUCUCUGUCG
Ophiocordyceps unilateralis is the source of this 82-nucleotide non-coding RNA. Lineage: Eukaryota; Fungi; Ascomycota; Sordariomycetes; Hypocreales; Ophiocordycipitaceae. The record is from Rfam.